GUGGAUGUAGCUCAGCUGGUUAGAGCACCAGGUUGUGGUCCUGGCGGUCGUGGGUUCGAGUCCCAUCAUCCACCCCA
This 77-nucleotide transfer RNA is filed under the name Candidatus Berkelbacteria bacterium. RNAcentral's name for it is "tRNA-His". It matches the Rfam family "tRNA". Rfam says of the family: Transfer RNA (tRNA) molecules are approximately 80 nucleotides in length. Their secondary structure includes four short double-helical elements and three loops (D, anti-codon, and T loops). Further hydrogen bonds mediate the characteristic L-shaped molecular structure. tRNAs have two regions of fundamental functional importance: the anti-codon, which is responsible for specific mRNA codon recognition, and the 3' end, to which the tRNAs corresponding amino acid is attached (by aminoacyl-tRNA synthetases). tRNAs cope with the degeneracy of the genetic code in two manners: having more than one tRNA (with a specific anti-codon) for a particular amino acid; and 'wobble' base-pairing, i.e. permitting non-standard base-pairing at the 3rd anti-codon position. The record is from RNAcentral. Lineage: Bacteria; Candidatus Berkelbacteria.